GUGGGGAUUCCUUCCGGUCCGACGCCACUUGGCUUCUGCUCCGGUGCCCCCGUUCUUCUUCCAAUCCAGCAAGAUGGUGCACAACAGAGCCGGCUGUGUGUGGAGUGCGCGGGAAGAUUCUUCUUCCACUCCGGCAGUCUGAUCCCAGCUUGAGCAGCAGUUGGAGUUAGCCAAGCGAGGCAGCGUGAGCACUAGGAGAGGGAGGGGAGAAGGAGAACUUAGGUUGCAUGGCACCAAUGGUCGGCUCCUUAUCCAGAAUCACGCGUCGGGAAAGGAGGUUCGAGGACUGCUUCUUCUUGGGACGCCACAUCCAUCGAGCUCUUACCCCAUCACCGCUGCCAUCCAUGGAGCUCUGACCUAUGGCCAACAAUUCGUCAUGGUGCACGAAAGACCCAGCGUGUGGUGUGCAUGUGGAAUUCUUCUUCACACUCAAACACAGGUUAUGAUAUCCAUGCUGGAGGAGUAGGAGGGCAACGGGCAAGUAAUAAUAGGAACCACCAUGAGCCUCACUAUGCGCUAUCCUGGUGAAACUGUUGGGUGCAACGGUGAUGGGCAAGACGAGCAUGUAGAAAGAGACCACAACAGCAGCAGGAUAAGACAUAGUUGUUGAAGACUUGAAAUACACAUGAAUGUACAUGUUUCGAUCUGAUCUCCCCUUAAUCUGGAUUGCCUUCUCUUCACAUGUAUGGUUGGUAUGUUUAGUGAAGCUUCUCAAUAGGAGCUGGAGUCAGUUUUCUAGUGAUGGACUAGGAUUGAAGCUACUCGACGAGGCACAAACAUGCUACUAUCUUGCUAGGCUGUGGUCUUCAGUUCAUGUCGUGGCUGGGUUGUUGCCAGUUACUUCAACUAAGCCUGUUCGGACUCUCUCCGCUCUCCAACUCCACGCCGGAGCGGAGCAACAUCUAGUUCUAAUUUGGGGAGUGGCUGAAAAGGUGCUCCACGCGCUCUGCUCCAAACAGGGCCUUAGUUGAUGAUGUGAUUGGAUUCCAUAUGA
RNA transcript from Triticum aestivum (bread wheat), 994 nucleotides. RefSeq lists it as uncharacterized. The transcript is spliced from 7 exons. NCBI's taxonomy places the organism in Eukaryota, Viridiplantae, Streptophyta, Magnoliopsida, Poales, Poaceae. The record is from RefSeq and is a predicted model, not a curated record.